RNAcentral lists this ribosomal RNA (472 nucleotides) under uncultured bacterium. Its description in RNAcentral is "bacterial SSU rRNA". It matches the Rfam family "Bacterial small subunit ribosomal RNA", at positions 355 to 825 of the family's 1533-position model. The record is from RNAcentral.
UGGAGAAUUUUGGACAAUGGGGGCAACCCUGAUCCGGCAAUGCCGCGUGAGUGAAGAAGGCCUUCGGGUUGUAAAGCUCUUUUGUCAGGGAAGAAACGGUGGUGGCGAAUAACUACUACUAAUGACGGUACCUGAAGAAUAAGCACCGGCUAACUACGUGCCAGCAGCCGCGGUAAUACGUAGGGUGCAAGCGUUAAUCGGAAUUACUGGGCGUAAAGCGUGCGCAGGCGGUUGUGUAAGUCAGAUGUGAAAUCCCCGGGCUCAACCUGGGAAUUGCAUUUGAGACUGCACGGCUAGAGUGUGUCAGAGGGGGGUAGAAUUCCACGUGUAGCAGUGAAAUGCGUAGAUAUGUGGAGGAAUACCGAUGGCGAAGGCAGCCCCCUGGGAUAACACUGACGCUCAUGCACGAAAGCGUGGGGAGCAAACAGGAUUAGAUACCCCCGUAGUCCCUGAGCGGGCUGGCAAGGCGCAU